Molecule: long non-coding RNA, 4504 nt
Filed under: Theobroma cacao (cacao)
Lineage: Eukaryota; Viridiplantae; Streptophyta; Magnoliopsida; Malvales; Malvaceae
Description: long non-coding RNA (TCAC_LNC003431)
Source: RNAcentral
UAUAACAAAGAUAGCAUCCCAAAAUUUAGGUUUUCCCUUAUAGCAUCUGAUAAUACAACCACUGAUACCGUAAACCAAAAGAAUAACAAAGUAAAGCAUAUGAUAUAACAAAAUGCAAAAUUCCCUCUAGAAGACAAGCUCAUGAGGUUUCAUUCCAGACUUAAGAGAAAAUCUUGCAGCCAGGUAAGCCUUCAAGGCUGGGACUCCCUCAAUGGACUUUACUAAAGCGGCAUCAACUGAUUUCUGGUCUUCUUUCUUGUCAUCCGGCAGUUUCUUCUUAUCCUACAAAUUUUUAUGGGAAAGUAAAAGAACAGACAAUAAGCACAUCAAAUUAAAUGAACCCAAUUAGGACUGCUUAAGUUACACUAAAUAGCAGGACAAACUAACUAACCUCUUUUUCAGCUUCAAAAAACUCUCCCUCGCCCUUCUUCUUUUUCUUCUCUACUUCCUUGGCAAAGUAUUUGUCAUCGAACUUCUCUACGUUAAGACCUGAGAUAUCAACCUUGGUGGAAGUAGCAAUAACAUAGGAUUGGUUCACACGCCUUAAAGGAACACCGUUAAUCUUGAAUGGUCCUGCAAUGAAAUAAAAUUUCCAAAUUUUAGCAAAGCACUAGUAUGAACCUACCCACCUAAUCCACUACUUUAUGACAAAGACCCAACACGUAAUGAUAACCUAGCCCACUAAUCCAGAAGAAGCAAAUAUAGAUACAACAUCCAGAAAACUAUAUGAUACAAGUAAAUCUCCGAUCAUGAUUUCAUGAUAGCAGCAGUCUUUCUCCAGCACAUUGAAUGACAAAUGGGUUUUGCUAUGACAGCCUCUAACCUAUACGCAGAAACAGCACAAUAACCAUAAUACAACCGUGUGCUUCUUCAAAAACAAGACAGAACUGAUUUGAGCGUCAAUAUUACAUUGAUAUUAAUGAAGCAAUAUUGCUGCAUGGAAAACUCAGUAAGAACGGUUUUAACACCGUUGUCAUACAUCCAAUUCGUAUUUGAAUUAGACAAAUCAUCCUUUAUUAGUUAUCUAUUAGCUGCAAUGCUUUAAAUUUACAAUUCACAGUUAUUGAUUUCAUUUCAUCAAUAAAAAUUCCACAAGCAAACAUUCAGCAAAAAGAAGAAUGUCAAGGGACAGCAGUAAAAUGUGUAAAAUACACGUUUUAAACAAACAAAAUUACAACAAUGAAAUAAAAACAUGAGAAAAAACGCUCACCAGUAACCAAAAGAAGCCCAGAAGUAAGUUGCUUCAAGAAAACAACUCUCUUCCCCAUAAACCUUCCAGCCAACAAAAUCAACACCGUCCCAGGAGUAAUGCUCGCUCUAAACAAAUUAAAAAAUGAACAUCAAAAGCAAACCCCAAUAAAGAAACAUAUCUUCAGAGAUCCACAAACAAACAAAAGGACAAAUCAAUUCAGAAAAGAACCUGAGCUUAGUGGGUUUAGGCUUGCGCUUAUUAAGAAGGGGCUUCUUAACAUCAUCAGCGGGGUAAAAUUUGGGUAGCUUCUCUGCGGCAGCGGGGGCCUUAGGCUUGGGGUCAUGGCGGGGGAAGACGCCGCCAUUUUUGGCUUUAAUGGCCCAAAGGCCACGCUUGUGGUACAUUUUAGAUCGAGAAUACUUGCCUACGCCACGAAUCAGAUCUGGGUUUCGGCACUUUACUGGGGUCUUCCUUUUCGGCGCCAUUUCCCCUCUAAAACCUUUACUCAGUUGCUACUGCUGCGGCGACCGCGGCGGCGUGUGGCUUUGAGGUAGGAAGGUUGAUAAAAAAAAAACCCUAAACACUUUAUAUUGCAAAAUGAGGGUUUCUUUUUUCCUAUGGGCCUUUUUUGGGUUGGGCUUCUUUUGUCCUAUGGCCCGCUAAUCAUAUAAAAGAAAAUCUAAAAUCCACCAAUGGGCAUUGCAAACUAAAAUAACUAAAAUAUUUUUAUGGGUCGCUAAUCAUAUGAAAAAAAACCUAAAUAUAUUACGUCGCUGAUCAUUUGAAAAAAAUACCUAAAUAUAUAACGCCGUCUGUGGGAAUCGAACCCACGACCACAUGGUUAAAAGCCAUGCGCUCUACCGGCUGAGCUAAGACGGCUUGUGAUUUUUUUGUAUUUUAAUAUUAUGUACCUACAUUUUAAUAUUUCAACCUAAUGAAUUAGCCAACAAGUUUUGUUUUUUUAAUUGAAAAAAGAGAAAUUCAAAAUAAUAGGGAAAAUAUACAUCAAUCAAUAAGCAAAAUAAAUAAGGUUCACUUGCAAAAAUCAAUACCAUUAGCAAAUAUCAUCAAGUACUCCUAGCUUAAGAGAGACCCGUGUAUAGGAUCAAACGGUAAGUUAAAAUUGGAGCUGUAAUGCUGAAAUGGUUUUCAAUUACUUACACUUACACCUGCUUUCUUAAAUAAAAGCCUAUGUCAAGUUUGAACCCAUCGAAAUAGAAUAAACAACACUAGGUUAUAUUCUUUUCUUAAAAAAAGUUACGAAUUCAUUUUAUUUGGGAAGAAGUCUCCCAUUCGAUAGACGAAAUUCUAUACUCAUAGAUUUCAAAGUGAAUUUAUUUGUCUAGAAUUGUCGCCAUUGAUAUAUACAAAAAAUUAGCAUCCUGUAAUUGUCAUCACCAUUGAGACUUAGUUAUACAAUUACCAAAAAUUCUUCCUGUGAUCAAGAGAAUCCAACUCUUAAAAAUUUACAUUCAAACAAAUGAUAGAUAAUACAUCUUUUUUUUUUUUUUGUAGUGGUACAUGAAUGAUUAAUUAAAGCUUUUGAACAAUACAUAAGAAAUAAUAUACAUAAUUCCUGUCUUAAAGACCUAACUGAUUCAUAUCUAAUGUUACGAUCUCAUCAAGUUGUAUGUGGUUGUCACCAUAGAUGGAGGACACAACAUCCUUUUGAUUGAAAAGAUUUUCACACAGCAAUGUCCUCUUAGUUAUCCAUGAUCACUCUCUUGAACAUUAGGUAUAUUAAAAAGAAUCGGAGGGCUAAGGGAAAGGCUAAUGCAUUAUGAUUAUUGGAUACUUUUUUUCUGGUACAUAUGAUAAUUGGAUGAUAAAAUUGAGGCCUUUUGCUCUAGAAAAUUUUGGAAUUACCAUUAGGUAAGCUACUCGGGAUAAUCACUCUUUUAGUUUUACAUGUUUACAUGUUUUUUACUUUUAAUAUUUAAUUCGUGUUUGUGUUAUUAAAAUGUGACAAUGUUAGAUUUAGUUUUAAUUUUCAUAUAAAAAUAAUUUUAAAAUAAUUAACGGUGCAUUUUUUCAGACAUGUGAGGCAUUUUUAUUAGUUCUUUUUUAUCAUGUCUUCUAUUUGACUAACGGUAUUAAUUAAAAAUGCAAACUACUUAAUGAAAAUAAAUUUUAAUAUCUAAUUGUGCAUUUUUAAAUUUCAGAUACUAAUUAAAUCCAUAAUUUCGAGGCACACUUCAAGCUUGGAUUUAGUCUAAUCUAGCACUCUUUAGAAUUAAAGCAAUUAAGUAUGUUACCUAGCUAGCUUCGAAUGUUUCAAAUUGUGGUUUUCCAAAACUAAGAAAAAUAAAUGGCUCUACUCAGUUGGAGAGACCCCAUAGCGACCAGCCUCUUAGUAAUAUCCUGCCUAAUUGCUGCAGUGGCACUCGACGUGAAACCAUUCAAGACCACAGCUUUGGUUGCAGGAUUAUUCUGGCUACGCCAUUCUUCAGUACCAAGCAAUUUCUUCAGGAGAUUGCCCUCUCCAGUUGAUAGCAUGCUCUGAAGAAAUAGGAGUUAGUGUUACCCCAAUUUCGAUUUUUAUUCUCUUUUAAAUUUCUUUCCAUGUCCUUCCAAUAAAUUAAGGGGCUUUGCUGUAUUCCAUUUCCUUAUCUCGGCUUUCAUCUAUUUGAUUACUUUAUCUAUAAAUGAUGUUGACUCUUACAUAUACGACCUUCCAGAUUUACAGUUUCUGAACCAUAAAUUAACUCACAUCCAGAAAACUACAGAGCUCAAACACAAGGCAGUGUCAUUAAUGACUAGGAAAAGAAACCGUGAUUCCUGCUUUGUGUAUGUUUUUCAGAUCAAUAGAGAAACUCAUUUAGAUUGGACGACCGUAAGGAGCACAUAUCUUCAUACCAACUCAACAAAAUACUUCUUUUGGCCACCACAACCUCCAUAUGAUAAACUAGAAGCCAAUUGCAACUCAGAUAACAGGAAGUAUCCAAUUCCAUCAAAUUUAAAAUUUGACAAGCUCCAAUCAGACUAGCACAAAACACAAUCAAAUAAGUAAAAAUUUAAGUUCUAGCAUAACAAAAGAUAGUAUCCCAAAAUUUAGGUUUUUACCUUAUAGAAUCUGAUAAUACAACCACUGAUACUCUAAAACCAAAAGAAUACCAAAGUAAAAGCAUAUGACAUAACAAAAUGUAAAUUCCCUCUAGAAGACAAGCUCAUGAGGUUUCAUGCCAGACUUAAGAGAAAAUCUUGCAGCCAGGUAGGCCUUCAAGUCUGGGACACACUCAAUGGCCUUUAUUAAAGAGGCAUCAACUGCUUUCUGGUCUUCUUUCUUGUCAUCAGGCAGUUUCUUCUUAUCCU